GGUGGUUCAGUGGUAGAAUGCAUGCCUCACAUGCAUGAGGUCCUGGGUUCAAUUCCUCAGCACCA
RNAcentral lists this transfer RNA (65 nucleotides) under Dipodomys ordii (Ord's kangaroo rat). It matches the Rfam family "tRNA". From Rfam's summary of the family: Transfer RNA (tRNA) molecules are approximately 80 nucleotides in length. Their secondary structure includes four short double-helical elements and three loops (D, anti-codon, and T loops). The record is from Rfam by way of RNAcentral. Lineage: Eukaryota; Metazoa; Chordata; Mammalia; Rodentia; Heteromyidae.